RNAcentral lists this non-coding RNA (256 nucleotides) under Bacillus sp. B-jedd. The record is from RNAcentral. Lineage: Bacteria; Bacillati; Bacillota; Bacilli; Caryophanales; Bacillaceae.
ACGAAAUCGAUGACGGGAAUAAAGGAAUGAGAGUUCGGUAUUCACAGAGAGCCGGGGAUGGUGGAAGCCCGGAAAUACCGCUUAUUCCGACAUCCUCCCUGAGUGUUAAGCUGAACGGGCCAUCCCAACUAGGCUUAGCCGGGUGUUUUUCAGCACCUGUUACAAAAACGGAGCGGAGCCCUUUUCCGCUUCAUGAGGCAGCAGUUGCAAGACUGCUGUGAAUCCGGGUGGUACCGAGAAAAGAUCAAUGCCUUUU